CCCUUAGAUGUUCUGGGCCGCACACGCGCUACACUGAAGGAGGCAGCGUGUACUCCUGGAUCGAAAGAUUUGGGUAACCCGCGAAUCUCCUUCGUGCUAGGGAUUGAGGUUUGCAAUUAUCCUUCAUGAACGAGGAAUUCCCAGUAAGUGCAAGUCAUAAGCUUGCGCUGACUACGUCCCUGCCCUUUGUACACACCGCCCGUCGCUACUACCGAUUGAAUGGUCCGGUGAAAUCUUCGGAUCUGAGAGAUGUCUGAUUAAUUUCGGACGCCUUUUGGAAAAGUUGCUUAAACCUUACCAUUUAGAGGAAGGUGAAGUCGUAACA
Molecule: ribosomal RNA, 325 nt
Filed under: uncultured eukaryote
Lineage: Eukaryota
Description: partial 18S ribosomal RNA
Rfam family: Eukaryotic small subunit ribosomal RNA
Source: RNAcentral